UUGACCUCGGAUCAGGUAAGAUUACCCCCUGAACUUAAGCAUAUCAAUAAGCGGAGGAAAAGAAACCAC
Molecule: ribosomal RNA, 69 nt
Filed under: Ophiostoma rachisporum
Lineage: Eukaryota; Fungi; Ascomycota; Sordariomycetes; Ophiostomatales; Ophiostomataceae
Description: partial 28S ribosomal RNA
Rfam family: Eukaryotic large subunit ribosomal RNA
Source: RNAcentral